Long non-coding RNA from Uranotaenia lowii, 5105 nucleotides. RefSeq lists it as uncharacterized. The transcript has 9 exons. The record is from RefSeq and is a predicted model, not a curated record. Lineage: Eukaryota; Metazoa; Arthropoda; Insecta; Diptera; Culicidae.
CGUUCACGUUCGAGUUCGAGUUCACAAGAACUGUAAACCGGGCUUAAAGUGGUGUUUUUUUGUUAUCAACAUUUCGAAUGAUUCGACGGAAUUCCAAAAUAUCAGGAUUAUCACGUUGCAUCAACUUUCGCUUAUCAUAACCCUGUCAGGAAGGUUUGCUCAAUCGGGCCGAUUGCAAAACAGACAUGGCGGUACUCGAAUUCUAGCGGUUAGAAUUCGGUUCGUUUUCGGCUCGAUUUCCAUCCGCCUGCUCGAUUGCUCGAAAACAGACGAUAUUUUUCGCAGUGCUGCGAUGAGCAAAACGAAACACGAGCAGUUUUCAAUCGCAGCAAUCCGGGUGCGUGUUUUGUUUUGGUGCGUUAUUGUUGUGAAAUGUGUUGUGGAAUUUGGUCGCAGUUCGGUUUCUGCUUUUUCCGUUGUUCCUGUUCAGAAAUGCUUUGAGCGCCGUAUAGAAGAAUCCAUUGUCCGGCGAUAAUUUAAUAAUAUGUAAGAAAAUAUCGGACCAUACGAACAAAGCUUCCAAGGAAAUGUCAACACGGUACGGGCGCUGGUGGAAUGUCAUCCUGGACAUCGUAUUAUGAUCCGGAUCCGGAUCCCAGACACGCUCAGAGGUGGUGGCUUCACUUUUAGAUCACUUAUAAUUAGUUUUUGCCGUGGUACUUCAUAGUGAAAAGCAAGAAAACAUCGACCCAUUGCAAACAAAGCUUCCAAGGAAAUGUACACACGGUAUGGGCUCUGGUGGAAUUUCAUCCCGGACAUCGUACCCGGAUCCGGAUCUCGGCUCAGAAGUGGAGGCUUAACUUGGAUUACUUUUAAUCAGUUACGGUGUGAUACUUCAAAGGGGAAAGCAAGUUUACAUAUUUAGUUCCUGAAACAGUUCCACAAAAAGGAUAACCCAAUCUAGAAGGAUUUGGCCAAAAGCAGCAGCAGUCGGAAGUUGAAAAAAACUCAGCGAGACCAUCGAUGGCGGAUACGCAAAGUAUGAUGGGGUGGAAUUCAAAGGAUUGGUGGUGGUGUCCAAGAAAGUCUCCACUUGCAAACAUCCAGCUGAUUCGGGAAACUUUUUCGUCCGUGCUAACAAAGAGACCACUUCGUACUCGGCAUCGAGCAGGAGGCUUAGACACUCAAAGCCGCUGAUGUGAUUUGAGCGAUGCUAAAUAUGUGAAGCUAGGGGUCUCAAAAGGUGCAUGUCUUGUCUGCAUUCAAUGAAGCAACUUCAAGGUUGGACUUGUCUACGUAAGAAGAUUUGCAUGGCUUAGGAGACUUAAUCAUUUUCAAAAAAAUGGUUGAAUUUCUGAAUUGGUGGAAUCACAACCACAAACUUGAACCACGACCUGAAGUACCUGAAAUGAACCGACUCAUCGAAUUACGUUAAAUAUUACUGCUCGUUUAGAGCGUUGGAACAACAAAGAACCGAUGAUGUUCUUCAAACCCAGUAAAAUGUGUGUGAUAACGGAUUGUAUGAGAGUGUCCUGCUUUGCGCAGUUAAAGCGGCUUUAUGUAUCGGAUAACGGCCGACAACAGUGACUGUUGAAGGUUUGCGAGUUGCCUGAAUGUCUUAUCGCGUGUCAGUCAGACAACUGUCCUAAUUUGUUUUAUCAGCAAUAUCAUGGGAAGAGUGAGCCCGCAUAAUCAAUUACAAUAUAUAGAGAAUAUUCUAUAUUGUCUCUAAACGUUAUCGUUUAUUGUAAAGUGAACAGUAUAUGUACAAUAACACAGACCAUAUUAACAAUCUGUAUUAUGAUUAUCUGUUAAAGUACCAUAUGGGGAAAGGGCUGUUAAGCAUGUUUACCAUUCAAAAAGAGCGAUUUUUUCGAACAAAUAUUUCAUGCUACAUUAUUGGAUACGGUUAAAAUAUCAUCCACUUUUGGCGAGCAAAACAAUCUACCUGAAUGUUCUAGCUACGUUGGAAUACAAAAUCAUAGAUUUGUUCAACUUCAAUGGAUAUAGUUUGCUUAUAGUAGUUUGUAGUAAAAAUAACGCUCAAUCAUACGUUCCGCAUAUUGUAAAAUAUUUUUAAAAAGAGCUUCCCUGUACCAUAACCAAUAUAGUUCCAAUUCUUUCCCACAAAAAAUAAAAUAAAAUUAAAAAAUUUAAAUGUUGAGAUUUUUAUUUUUUAUUUCUGAUAUUCCCAACAAACAUUUUUGCUGAUUAAAAACGCCAAUUCUCUGAUCGUAUGCUGUUUUGAGGUGCUGAUUGCUGUUUCAGCUUUCUUGCUGAAGAAAGAAAUAUUUCAGCGCUGUUUCAGCGUAUAAGGAAGUUUUAUUUCAGCCAAUAGAAAGUAGGGGAAAAUUGGCUGAAGAAUAACUCGUUCAGCCUUUGUCCAACCAUUUUUGACACCUUCAAAUUUGACAACCGUCAGCUGUACAAGGGUAGCUUCGAAAGCGUCUUUCAGCAAUAUCAAACUUUUUGUUAUUCAUGACGAAUCAACAUAAUUAUCUUGUGAAUCGUCUAAUGAUUCGAAAUUUCUCAUUUUGCAUGAUAAAAUGGCAUUGCCGGAAAAUUUACAUUUUAAUUCUCGUAGCCAUUUCAAUUUCUUCAUAUGAAAUUGACUUUGGUUGAGAAAUAUUUUGGUCGCUUAAGAGCGACACUUUUCUGUUCCUUCGCAGAAUGCAUGGUUGGUUCUGCCUUCUGCGGCAUGAGACCAACAAGUCGUAGGUUAAAAGUUCGAGACAAGUUCAAAUGAAGAAAAAAUAACACGAGAGGGGAAAAUUAGCUGGCAAACAUCGGACAUACAUCGGUCAGCAUUCUUUUUGUUUUUUUUUUGUUGCUCCGUCAAUUGACGUUUCAUGUGGUUUCAUGUCAUCUUCGCUGAUUAAUUUCUCCAGAUCUCGAUGUUUAAGGGCUGAACAGCAGCUUCUCUCUGAAUUUGGGUUGCCUUCUUUCAGCAAGAUAGCUGAUUUAAAAUUAGAACUAAACAAUGUUUCAGCGGUUGUUCAGCAAAAAAUGUUUGUUGGGUUAUACAUGGAUUAUACAAUCUUACCUAUUUGUGCAGAUCUGCAUUGUUCAGCCUUUCAGUAGAUUUUUUUCCGCUCUCCGCUCAGCAGAGAUCUUUGUUUCUGUAAUUUCAUUAGUUUUAUUUAAUCUCACUAGUUUUUAUCGAUAAUAUAAUAUAGUUUUACUUACUUUUCGCGUUCUGUGUGUUUUUCUCAGCGUGAUUCUUUUUUUUCGGAGCCAUUUUGAACACAGUUUUCAGUUCCGAACCUGGCGUGGGGUUGCCGACACAAAUUUUAACGAAGUGAAGUGAAAAUUAGCAGAUGCUGAACCCAAGAGCGAAAAAAUGCAUAAGCUCACAACUACAUCUUAAAAUAACAAUAUUAGUUAUUAUCCGCAAGAGGUGAAAUGAUAACGACUUGUCUAACUCAUACAAUGUUGUCAAUGUUGUUUUUUUUUUAAUUUAAUGUCUAAUGCUAAGAAAAUAUAAGGAAACUUUGUCGUACACUGUUAGAGUCCUGGAUAAGGUCCAGAGACAAUAUUCAAAGGUUGCAAAUUUUUAUUCUCUUAUUAUACUAUACUUACUAAAUCAUAUAUCAUAUUGUCACUGUCACUGAUACGAUCCUGUCAUAAUUUAUUGAGGUAAUAAAAUUUUGAACAUGUAUAAUGAAAUGAUACUUGGAAGAUAUUUCAUACUGGUACUGCUACCAAUAUAUUAAGUUAAUAGUUAGUACUAUAUCCCCAACUGUUUUUAAUUAUGCGGGAGUAUCACUGAGUUCAAAGUGUUAGGAAAACAAACAUCAAUUCAACACUACAAACCUUGAAAGGUUGAAAAAUAUAAUAUAUUGAUCAUUUCAUCGUGUCUUCUUAAUUUACAGGUCAAUUGUAUUUUCUGCCCUCCAGUCAGCGGAUCGGGCAUUUCAUAAAUGGCUGUUGUUAGCCUGUGUAGAUCUGGAGCUGACGAACCAAUUAUUAACAGGAAAUACCGCAUGAUAUUCUAACGAUUCCGUUAGCGGUCGUUUUAGAAUACCACGAAUAACGGCACAUUUUAAGGAAUUCAGUACAGAAUCGGUCAGCGGUUGAUUUUUGCCACGGAUUUUUUCAGAACCUAGAUUUCGUGGUUGCAAAGAUUAUAUCGCACAGGCGGUAAAGAACAUAACGGGACCAUUGGACCGUUAUAGCGUUACCGUUCCUCCACAACACAUCAAACACAACGUGGUAGAAAAUAUUCCGGCCCCAACAAGGGCCGCCAUUCCCUCGGUGGCUGCGUCAACAAUUUCUGGUAUAGAAAACAUCUCCCCACCAGCCGGUCAUCCAUUAACGAUUAAUACUAAACGACGAAGAACCGAAUAAAGGACAUUCGUGUUCCUUUCUACAUUCUAUAGAAUAUUCACAAACUGCGCUUCGAAGGUCCCACCUAAGAAAAACCCUUGUAUUUCUUUUCAUGUCACCUUCUGUUGAUGACGAAUGAGCUUCGAAUUAGGUAAACUCGAACAACCCUCAAGCCAUCUCCUCACAACAUUGGUCCUCGAAGAUGGUUUCGCAUGAUGUGGUUGUCAUCCCGAAGACUUUAUCAACACCUGAAAACAGACGAAUCGCUGAAAAAAUAAGCUUGUAUUGUAUUUAAUAUAAGCUAUGAUUUAAAAUAUAAAUUAGAAGAAAAAAAACCAGAAAAAUAAAAGAAAAACAAAUGAAAUAAUUUCUAGCUUUUUGUUCAAAACCGAAAAACCUGAAUGAAUGGCAACCAUGGUAAUCGGCCCAGAAACGGUUUGAAAAACCGUUCGGUUUCGGUCCGAAAUCGGUCCUUUCUUUCGGAUGUACGCCAUCGCAAUCGGUCCGGAAACGGCUCGAAAAAUCAUUCGGUUUCGGUCCGAAAUCGGCCCGUUUUUUCGGAUGGACACCAUGGCAAUCGGCCCGGAAACGGUUCAAAAAAUAUUUCGGUUUCGGUCCGAAAUCGGUCCUUUAUUUCGGAGGGACGAUGGCAAUCGGCCCAAAAACGGUUCGAAAACCGUUCAGAUUCGGUUGGAAAACGGUUGGCUUGUUUUGACAUUUGAUCUGCUCGAACUGGUUGAGAAAACUUAUCGUCGUCCGAAAAAGUGUUUCAUUUUCGCACGAUUUUCUACUAAAGUCGGCCCGAUUUCUUAUACGAUUUCGGACCGAUCGAGCAGAUG